RNAcentral lists this ribosomal RNA (253 nucleotides) under uncultured bacterium. RNAcentral's name for it is "partial 16S ribosomal RNA". It matches the Rfam family "Bacterial small subunit ribosomal RNA", at positions 524 to 776 of the family's 1533-position model. The record is from RNAcentral.
UACAGAGGUCUCAAGCGUUGUUCGGAUUCAUUGGGCGUAAAGGGUGCGUAGGUGGUGCCGUAAGUCAGGUGUGAAAUCUCGGGGCUCAACCCCGAAACUGCACUUGAUACUGCGGUGCUCGAGUACUGGAGAGGAGAUUGGAAUUUACGGUGUAGCAGUGAAAUGCGUAGAUAUCGUAAGGAAGACCAGUGGCGAAGGCGAAUCUCUGGACAGUUACUGACACUGAGGCACGAAGGCCAGGGGAGCAAACGGG